CUCCCAAAACCCUGUGAACAUACCUUACUGUUUCCUCGGCGGAUCAGCCCGCUUCCGGUAAAACGGGACGGCCCGCCAGAGGACCCCUAAACUCUGUUUCUAUAUGUAACUUCUGAGAAAAACCAUAAAUAAAUCAAAACUUUCAACAACGGAUCUCUUGGUUCUGGCAUCGAUGAAGAACGCAGCAAAAAGCGAUAAGUAAUGUGAAUUGCAGAAUUCAGUGAAUCAUCGAAUCUUUGAACGCACAUUGCCCCCGCCAGUAUUCUGGCGGGCAUGCCUGUUCGAGCGUCAUUUCAACCCUCAAGCCCUCGGGUUUGGUGUUGGGGAACGGCGAGCCUUUCUGGCAAGCCGGCCCCGAAAUCUUGUGGCGGUCUCGCUGCAGCCUCCAUUGCGUAGUAGUAAAACCCUCGCAACUGGAACGCGGCGCGGCCAAGCCGUUAAAGCCCCAACUUCUGAAUUUUGACCUCGGAUAGUAGGAAUACCCGUGACUAAGCUA
This 496-nucleotide small RNA is filed under the name Fusarium redolens. RNAcentral describes it as "eukaryotic LSU rRNA". The stretch from base 138 to 291 matches the Rfam family "5.8S ribosomal RNA". Lineage: Eukaryota; Fungi; Ascomycota; Sordariomycetes; Hypocreales; Nectriaceae. The record is from RNAcentral.